UUCAUUUCUCCCGUCCUUUCUUCUUCUUCUUUAUUUCGUUUCUUUCCUUUCUUCCAUCCGACCAGAACGAGAGAGAGAGAGAGAGAAACCGAGAGAGAUGGAGAGAAUCAGAAAGAACUUGAGGGAGAUGUGCGGUGGUCUAGCCAAUGUUUGGGGCGGACGACGGCGCCGGAACCGGUGGGUAACGGCCCGACCCCGGUGAAGCCAAGGAGCUUAUUUCUGGCGUUUUCUCGGUACCCAAACGAGUAGAAAUCCAUUUUUGGGAGCUCCAACGGCAUGCGGAUAUGGACAACAGGGAGCUAAUAGGAGUUUGGCAAGAAAUUUGAGGCUAUAAUGGAAUGCAGGGGUCUAUGGGAAAACGAGAAUUUGGAGAUUCGUUGGAAAGCUUCUCUAGAAGGUUUUGACAAUGUCAAUUGGGAUGCUCCUAUCAAUAGAAAUAAAAUGAAGAUGAGUAUUAGUGUUAUUAUUAGAGAUAAAUGGGCGAAGAGCUGGCCACACUGUUAGAGCUAAAAGAUUACAUCAUUGCACCAGAUAUUGCAGAAGCCAUGGUGGCGUUAAGGACAACCAAUUCAAUAGUGAAUUGGGGUUCUAUAAAGUAUUUCUAGAACGUGAUGCUCUCCAAAUAGUGGAAGAGCUGAAAAAAGAAGAGAAAAAUACGAGUAAAUAUGGCCAUCUCAUUAAGGACAUUCAAGGUAUACUGAAAGGUUUGCAAAAUUGGCAGGUUAAUCAUAAUAGUCGUAAUUUAAAUGGUACGACUCACUAGAUUGCUAAGCAUGUAUUAUACUUGAGUGAAGAGCAAUGUUUUCUUGAGGAAACCACCCAUAUAUUUCUGAUAUUAUUUCUGCACAUCAAUGUAAUUAAAUUGAUUAUUUAUAUAAG
Molecule: long non-coding RNA, 879 nt
Organism: Alnus glutinosa
Lineage: Eukaryota; Viridiplantae; Streptophyta; Magnoliopsida; Fagales; Betulaceae
Exons: 3
Source: RefSeq, a predicted model, not a curated record